GAACCUUACCUACUCUUGACAUCCAGAGAACUUAGCAGAGAUGCUUUGGUACCUUCGGGAACUCUGAGACAGGUGCUGCAUGGCUGUCGUCAGCUCGUGUUGUGAAAUGUUGGGUUAAGUCCCGCAACGAGCGCAACCCUUAUCCUUUGUUGCCAGCGGUUCGGCCGGGAACUCAAAGGAGACUGCCAGUGAUAAACUGGAGGAAGGUGGGGAUGACGUCAAGUCAUCAUGGCCCUUACGAGUAGGGCUACACACGUGCUACAAUGGCAUAUACAAAGAGAAGCGACCUCGCGAGAGCAAGCGGACCUCAUAAAGUAUGUCGUAGUCCGGAUCGGAGUCUGCAACUCGACUCCGUGAAGUCGGAAUCGCUAGUAAUCGUGGAUCAGAAUGCCACGGUGAAUACGUUCCCGGGUCUUGUACACACCG
RNAcentral lists this ribosomal RNA (426 nucleotides) under uncultured prokaryote. RNAcentral describes it as "bacterial SSU rRNA". It matches the Rfam family "Bacterial small subunit ribosomal RNA", at positions 966 to 1392 of the family's 1533-position model. The record is from RNAcentral.